Molecule: ribosomal RNA, 267 nt
Filed under: Astraeus macedonicus (nom. inval.)
Lineage: Eukaryota; Fungi; Basidiomycota; Agaricomycetes; Boletales; Astraeaceae
Description: Astraeus sp. MPM-2019a partial large subunit ribosomal RNA
Rfam family: Eukaryotic large subunit ribosomal RNA
Source: RNAcentral
AUAAUGUCUUUAAGCGACCCGUCUUGAAACACGGACCAAGGAGUCUAACAUGCCUGCGAGUGUUCGGGCGGAAAACCCGAGCGCGAAAUGAAAGUGAAAGUCGAGACCCCUGUCGCGGGGGGCACCGACGCCCGGACCUGAGCCUUCGGCGACGGAUCUGCGGUAGAGCAUGUAUGUUGGGACCCGAAAGAUGGUGAACUAUGCCUGAAUAGGGCGAAGCCAGAGGAAACUCUGGUGGAGGCUCGUAGCGAUUCUGACGUGCAAAUC